Molecule: long non-coding RNA, 1344 nt
Organism: Asparagus officinalis (garden asparagus)
Lineage: Eukaryota; Viridiplantae; Streptophyta; Magnoliopsida; Asparagales; Asparagaceae
Exons: 2
Source: RefSeq, a predicted model, not a curated record
UUUUUUACUGCAUGUUGUCAAAGCAGUUUCUUGCAGCCAAAUUGAUUGCAGCAGCAUGUGAUGCAUUUCUUCUCUGCAAAAUGGAAGUCUAAUUAUUAUUUCCGGCUAUCAUGUUGCUAACCAAAUAUUGAAAUAGAAAAUUUUGCUAUACUGUUUGCUAUUGCAACUCAAAUUUUGUCAACCAAGCAAGAUUCUCGAGUAAUGAGUGCUCGAGCAUUUUAUCCUGGUGGAGAGGGAAGGGGAGGUGGAGGAGAGGGAGGGGAGGGGAAUGGGAAGGGAGGAGGAGAGGGAGAGGGAGGGAAUGCAUAUUUUUGAUAAUUUUGGGCAUAGAUUUAAUAUUUUGAGAGGUUAGGGAGGUAGAAUAAAUUUUCCUGCCGCAAUUUCAAGGAAAAGGGUCUUAUUGACUAAAAGGCCGAGAAAAAAAAUACAUUGUUGUCGCCGGAGUUUAUAAGUAUACCAAACUAGCAAACAAGGUCGAAUAAAAAUACCAAUUUGGUAGUUUAGCCGUUAAGAAAUCAAGAAAAGAGUGAUUGACCACUGAUGGCUGUAAGAAAAUGAGAAGGCAAGCUCAUUUGUUCUCUUUAAUGCGCAGAACAAUAAAAUUUUUGCUAGGUGGGUGAUGAGUGGCUUUCUGGCAUAGAGCCCCUGGACAAGCUAAUGAGAUACUUUUGAACUUCUAUAAUUUGAUGUUACUUAAUUAACAACUAAUUUGACUAAUUUGACCAUUGCUGAUAUUGAGGUGGGUUUGAUCCUUGACUUGAGCUAAUAUGCAGCCCCAGAGCUAAUUGCCUCAGGCUAUUACCAUUAUAGCUUACUUGUUGAUUGAUAACAACUACGAUAUCUAACUAUCUGUACAUAGGAUUUCAAAGAGAGUACAAAAAUGGGUUCUUCCCCUCGUUACAAUGCUGGUUGAUGAAAUAUAACUGGACACUGACAUUGAGACAUGAAGUCAGGAUGGAGAGGAGACGAAGAAGGAGAGGACUGUGAAGAAAAAAAAAGGGAGGAUUCUAAGAUAUGGUUUCUUUUAGUCAGUUGAUGUGUGUUUAGUCAGUUUAUUCCAGUGUGUUAGUUUGGCUUGGCUUAUGGAAAUAACAAGGCAAGUUUAUAUGCUAUCGUUGUAUAUGUCAUGUUUUAAAUUAGGGCUUUGGGUGGAUUGCAUGUUAAACCCUUGUAUGUGUCAAGUCGAUUCUGUAAUAGGAGAUGGUUGUUUUUCUGUUUAUUUGGUCUGUGGUGUUCCAUCUUGUUAAUAACAGAUAAAUCGUUACUUCUUUAGAACGUGAAGUACAAAAAACAGAGGGGUGCAGAGAAAAUGCUAUAGAAUAUAUCUACAAUUUUUUUGGUUUA